AACCCUUGCCAUUAGUUGCUACGAAAGGGCACUCGUAAUGGGGACUGCCGGUGACAAACCGGAGGAAGUGGGGAUGACGUCAAGUCCUCAUGGCCCUUAUAGGUGGGGCUACACACGUCAUACAAUGGCCGGUACAGAGGGUAGCCAACCCGCGAGGGGGAGCCAAUCCCACAAAGCCGGUCGUAGUCCGGAUCGCAGUCUGCAACUCGACUGUGUGAAGUCGGAAUCGCUAGUAAUCGCGGAUCAGCAUGUCGCGGUGAAUACGUUCCCGGGUCUU
RNAcentral lists this ribosomal RNA (277 nucleotides) under uncultured Allobrachymonas sp. RNAcentral describes it as "uncultured Brachymonas sp. partial 16S ribosomal RNA". It matches the Rfam family "Bacterial small subunit ribosomal RNA", at positions 1100 to 1382 of the family's 1533-position model. Lineage: Bacteria; Pseudomonadati; Pseudomonadota; Betaproteobacteria; Burkholderiales; Comamonadaceae. The record is from RNAcentral.